Molecule: ribosomal RNA, 380 nt
Filed under: uncultured eukaryote
Lineage: Eukaryota
Description: partial 18S ribosomal RNA
Rfam family: Eukaryotic small subunit ribosomal RNA
Source: RNAcentral
CAAUAGCGUAUAUUAAAGUUGUUGCAGUUAAAAGGCUCGUAGUUGGAUUUGUGGCGUACGACGGGCUCCGGGCACUUGUUGUCUGAGUAGCUUGUCGUUGCCAUCCUUGGGUGGAACCUGUGUGGCAUUAGGUUGUCGUGCAGGGGAUGCCCAUCUUUUACUGUGAAAAAAUUAGAGUGUUCAAAGCAGGCUUAUGCCGUUGAAUAUAUUAGCAUGGAAUAAUAAGAUAGGACUUUGUCGCUAUUUUGUUGGUUUGCGCGAUAAGGUAAUGAUUAAUAGGGACAGUUGGGGGUAUUCGUAUUCCAUUGUCAGAGGUGAAAUUCUUGGAUUUUUGGAAGACGAACUACUGCGAAAGCAUUUACCAAGGAUGUUUUCAUUAA